UGGCCUACGGGGGGCAGCAGUGGGGGAUAUUGCACAAUGGGGGAAACCCUGAUGCAGCGACGCCGCGUGAGCGAUGAAGUAUUUCGGUAUGUAAAGCUCUAUCAGCAGGGAAGAAAAUGACGGUACCUGACUAAGAAGCCCCGGCUAACUACGUGCCAGCAGCCGCGGUAAUACGUAGGGGGCAAGCGUUAUCCGGAUUUGCUGGGUGUAAAGGGAGCGUAGACGGCAGCGCAAGUCUGGAGUGAAAUGCCGGGGCUCAACCCCGGAACUGCUUUGGAAACUGUGCAGCUAGAGUGCGGGAGAGG
This 305-nucleotide ribosomal RNA is filed under the name uncultured bacterium. Its description in RNAcentral is "bacterial SSU rRNA". It matches the Rfam family "Bacterial small subunit ribosomal RNA", at positions 335 to 657 of the family's 1533-position model. The record is from RNAcentral.